GAAAUGUAAAUGAAAAAGCUGCUAACUUAUUUCAAUAAUAAUUUAAUUUAUUAACAUUUCU
This 61-nucleotide transfer RNA is filed under the name Ogcodes sp. LRC-2002. RNAcentral describes it as "tRNA-Ser". The record is from RNAcentral. Lineage: Eukaryota; Metazoa; Arthropoda; Insecta; Diptera; Acroceridae.